This 75-nucleotide transfer RNA is filed under the name Candidatus Pacearchaeota archaeon CG10_big_fil_rev_8_21_14_0_10_34_76. RNAcentral describes it as "tRNA-Arg". It matches the Rfam family "tRNA". From Rfam's summary of the family: Transfer RNA (tRNA) molecules are approximately 80 nucleotides in length. Their secondary structure includes four short double-helical elements and three loops (D, anti-codon, and T loops). Further hydrogen bonds mediate the characteristic L-shaped molecular structure. tRNAs have two regions of fundamental functional importance: the anti-codon, which is responsible for specific mRNA codon recognition, and the 3' end, to which the tRNAs corresponding amino acid is attached (by aminoacyl-tRNA synthetases). tRNAs cope with the degeneracy of the genetic code in two manners: having more than one tRNA (with a specific anti-codon) for a particular amino acid; and 'wobble' base-pairing, i.e. permitting non-standard base-pairing at the 3rd anti-codon position. The record is from RNAcentral. Lineage: Archaea; Nanobdellati.
GGCCCCGUAGCUCAGCCUGGAUAGAGCAUCAGACUUCUAAUCUGAGGGUCGCAGGUUCAAAUCCUGUCGGGGCCG